GUGUAGUACAAAAGGAGAGCUGUUUAGCACUCCCCUUGAUAAGGACGGAACACAUAAUGAUCACGGCACAACCUUUGCGAAGGUGUGAUCAUAAUUUUUU
Non-coding RNA from Daphnia pulex (common water flea), 100 nucleotides. Lineage: Eukaryota; Metazoa; Arthropoda; Branchiopoda; Diplostraca; Daphniidae. The record is from Rfam.